Molecule: ribosomal RNA, 435 nt
Filed under: Triticum aestivum (bread wheat)
Lineage: Eukaryota; Viridiplantae; Streptophyta; Magnoliopsida; Poales; Poaceae
Description: partial small subunit ribosomal RNA
Source: RNAcentral
AUGCAACAUGCCCCCAAGCUCCGCCCCACCCUCCCCUCCAUCCAGAUCCAUGCCUCAAGGCCCGCACCCUUGCCCGUGGCUAGGGAUUCGGGCGCCCCCGUGUUCUUGCCGCUGAGUGGACAGGUCGGCCCGCUAGCCAAUGAGCAGCACCCCGCACCUGCGCGUGCCCAGGCCGACGAGCAGUACAGGGAUUGGCCGCGGAUGGAGACGAGUGCAGGCGCCGCAGCAGGACAAGCUGUGGCGGCGGCGGAUCUGGUGACUGCAGGCAGUCCGCACGAUUGUGAUUCUCGUGUCGCUGAUAGUUUGGAGCAGUCGGUUCCGCAUUACAAGCAACAACCACUGAGCCAUGAGAGUCUUUCUAGAUGGUACUCUAUCUACAUACUCUUACAAGAAACAACCAACGAGUUAUGGUAUAUAUUUCCAUUCUCAAAAUAA